This 440-nucleotide ribosomal RNA is filed under the name uncultured bacterium. RNAcentral's name for it is "partial 16S ribosomal RNA". It matches the Rfam family "Bacterial small subunit ribosomal RNA", at positions 338 to 795 of the family's 1533-position model. The record is from RNAcentral.
CCUACGGGAGGCAGCAGUGGGGGAUAUUGCACAAUGGGGGAAACCCUGAUGCAGCGACGCCGCGUGUGGGAAGACGGUCCUCUGGAUUGUAAACCACUGUCCCCAGGGACGAAGAUGACGGUACCUGGGGAGGAAGCUCCGGCUAACGACGUGCCGGCAGCCGCGGUAAUACGUAGGGAGCGAGCGUUGUCCGGAUUUACUGGGUGUAAGGGGAGCGUAGGGGGGACUGCAAGUUGGGUGUCAAGUCUACCGGCUCAACCGGUAGCCGCACUCAAAACUGCAGUUCUUGAGUGAAGUAGAGGCAGGCGGAAUUCCUAGGGUAGCGGUGAAAUGCGUAGAUAUUAGGAGGAACACCAGUGGCGAAGGCGGCCUGCUGGGCUUUUACUGACGCUGAGGCUCGAAAGUGUGGGGAGCAAACAGGAUUAGAUACCCGUGUAGUC